Molecule: ribosomal RNA, 230 nt
Filed under: uncultured bacterium
Lineage: Bacteria
Description: partial 16S ribosomal RNA
Rfam family: Bacterial small subunit ribosomal RNA
Source: RNAcentral
AUUACCUACGGGGCGCAGCAGUGGGGAAUAUUGCGCAAUGGGGGAAACCCUGACGCAGCAACGCCGCGUGCGGGAUGAAGGCUUUCGGGUUGUAAACCGCUUUCAGCAGGGAAGAUAAUGACGGUACCUGCAGAAGAAGCCCCGGCUAACUACGUGCCAGCAGCCGCGGUAAUACGAAGGGGGCAAGCGUUAUCCGGAUUCAUUGGGCGUAAAGCGCGCGCAGGCGGGAC